AUGGCCGCCGGCGGCGACCACCCGGACGCCAACAAGCGGAAGCGCGAGGCGGCGGGGAGGUCCAAGGCGCCGUCCAAGGGGGCCACCAAGCGGAGCAAGACCUACGGCGCCCCCGCCGCCAAGGCCGAGCCGCAGCCCGUCACCGCCAAGGACAAGCGGGUCGCCGCCAAGGAAAUGUCCGAGUCGAGGAAGAUGAAGAGGAAGCCCAAUUACAACCUUGAGAAGGAACUGGCAGUACUAUGGGAAAAGAUGAGAUGUGAUGUGAGCAAGGAGAAUAGAUCGAAGCUAGUAACCAAGGCUCUCCGUAAAAUGGAUGGCAAAUAUUUCGAAAUUGCUGGAUCCCAUGUAACCGCACGUGUUCUUCAAACAUGUGUCAAGUGGUGCUCACAGCCAGAGAGGGAUGCUGUUUUUGUUGCCCUGCAGCCACAUCUGCUCCAUCUUUCUCACAAGAAAUAUGCUGUUUUCCUUGUGAAGAAGCUCAUAAAAACUCGUUUGUUAGAAACAAUUUCCAAGCUUGGACUGCACAAAUCAUCUGUCCUGCAGUACAUGGCUACUGUUAUCCAGCCAGUUUUGGAAAAAGGCAUUGUUGAGUAUGCCAUAGUACACGUAGUCAUAUUGGAGUACUUAACAAUUGCGGAUAAGACAUCAGCCUUGGACGUGAUUCGUCAGUUAAUCCCCCAUCUUACUCAAGGGUCAUCUGUCGUAGAUGGAGAUGAACUAUCAGGUGUCGCUGAAGUACCAACAAAAUCAAAAGCUAAGAAGAAGAGAUCUUCAGAACCAUUUCUCAUUCGGAUCAUGCAGACGAGGGAAGGAUUAAAAUUAGGUCUUGCUUGCCUCAAGCAUGGCAGUCGAAGGAAGAAAAUUAUCAAAAGCUUGAAGGGGCAGGUUAUGAAGCUUGCUCUCAGUUAUUAUGGAUGCCUUUUUCUUGCUUGUCUUCUCUCCAUUGUUGAUGACACAAAACUUGUUACUAAGGUUGUAAUUGAAGAGCUGACAAAGCAGUUAAAGGAACUCAUAUUUGACAAGAACGGGAGACGCCCAUUGCUGCAGCUACUUCACCCACUUUGCUCACGUUAUCUGACUCCGACUGAUUUGAUUUGUCUGAAGUACCGUGUGCCUUCCCUUAUUUCAAAGGUUCUCAUCGAGACUUGCAUUGAAAAUGUUGGAGAGUUACUUCGAACAAACUUUGGCAAAGAUAUAUUAUAUGAGCACGCCUUUGAUAACUACCACUCGAGCCGCAUAAUCAGAAAGAUGAUACUUGAUUGCCCUGCGUUUGCCGCUACCCUAUGGAAAAAGGCCCUCAAAGGGAAGUGCAAGCCAUUUGCGGACGGAUUCAGCUCCAAGGUGGUGGCUGCCUAUAUGGAAUCUCCGGAUUCCAAGGUGGAGGAUCUUGCGAAAUCCGAGGCGCAGCCGCUCAUCAAGAGGCGGCGUCCGUGCUUGCAUGUUGGAUGA
Molecule: ribosomal RNA, 1449 nt
Filed under: Triticum aestivum (bread wheat)
Lineage: Eukaryota; Viridiplantae; Streptophyta; Magnoliopsida; Poales; Poaceae
Description: partial small subunit ribosomal RNA
Source: RNAcentral